This 222-nucleotide small nucleolar RNA is filed under the name Sciurus vulgaris (Eurasian red squirrel). RNAcentral's name for it is "Small nucleolar RNA U3 (ENSSVLG00005008909.1)". It matches the Rfam family "Small nucleolar RNA U3". From Rfam's summary of the family: Small nucleolar RNAs (snoRNAs) are involved in the processing and modification of rRNA in the nucleolus. There are two main classes of snoRNAs: the box C/D class, and the box H/ACA class. U3 snoRNA is a member of the box C/D class. The record is from Rfam by way of RNAcentral. Lineage: Eukaryota; Metazoa; Chordata; Mammalia; Rodentia; Sciuridae.
AAAACUAUACCUUCAGUGAUCAUUUCUAGAGUCCAUUCCUGGAGAAUUUUUCUGAUCUUUCAGAGUACCAGAAACCAUGAGGAAGAAGCCCAGUGUUCCCUCCUGAGUUUGAAGCCAGCACUUCAUGUUGCUUUACUGCAACUGCCUUUUCCAUUGAUGACUGUUCUCUCUGCACUCUGCAAGCUUGCCACAAAAAAAAAAAAAAAAAGCAUGUUCUGACUG